UUCCAACUCUGUUACUGUUACUGACUCUUCUUGGUAUUGCUGGUUCCUUUUCAACUGUGGCUUCAUUGAAGACUCUGCUUAUUGAUUCCACUCAGCUCAUCUCAAUCACGUGGCCCAGCUGAUUCCCCCCCCUCGCUGUUCUACUUACUGUUGCUGACUUGGAAGGCCAAUCUGUUCUUAGAUCUUUGGUUCCAGUCUUCCAUGCAGUGGUGGCAUUCAGCCGGUUCUAUCCGGUUCAGGCAAACUGGUAGCGCCGGCUGCGGGUGGCUCUGCCCACCCACCCGGAUGUAAUCAUGUCCCAUUUAUCCAUGUUUGUG
Molecule: non-coding RNA, 317 nt
Organism: Pantherophis guttatus
Lineage: Eukaryota; Metazoa; Chordata; Lepidosauria; Squamata; Colubridae
Source: RefSeq, a predicted model, not a curated record